Molecule: ribosomal RNA, 467 nt
Filed under: uncultured bacterium
Lineage: Bacteria
Description: SSU rRNA
Rfam family: Bacterial small subunit ribosomal RNA
Source: RNAcentral
AGGACGAACGCUGGCGGCGUGCUUAACACAUGCAAGUGGAGCGACGAACCGGGGCUUGCCCCGGGGCAGAGCCGCGAACGGGUGAGUAACACGUGGGUUACCUGCCCCAAUGACCGGGACAACCCGAGGAAACUCGGGCUAAUACCGGAUGUGGUCUUCGGACGAAAGGAAGCUUCGGCCUCCGCAUUGGGAUGGGCCCGCGGCGCAUUAGCUUGUUGGUGGGGUAACGGCCUACCAAGGCGACGAUGCGUAGCUGGUCUGAGAGGACGAUCAGCCACACUGGGACUGAGACACGGCCCAGACUCCUACGGGAGGCAGCAGUGGGGAAUCUUGCGCAAUGCGCGAAAGCGUGACGCAGCAACGCCGCGUGGGGGAAGAAGGCCUUCGGGUUGUAAACCUCUUUCAGCAGGGACGAUAGUGACGGUACCUGCAGAAGAAGCACCGGCCAACUACGUGCCAGCAGCCGC